UGCAGUCGUACGAGAACACCCUAGCUUGCUAGGGUAAGUAAAGUGGCGCACGGGUGAGUAACGCGUGGGUAAUCUACCUUCGAAUUGGGGAUAACGUUGCGAAAGCGACGCUAAUACCGAAUAAUAUCCAUUAACCUUUGGGUUUUUGGAUCAAGGGUGGCCUCUACAUGUAAGCUACUGUUUGAAGAUGAACCCGCGUACCAUUAGCUUGUUGGUGAGGUAAAAGCUUACCAAGGCUUCGAUGGUUAGCUGGUCUGAGAGGAUGAUCAGCCACACUGGAACUGACACACGGUCCAGACUCCUACGGGAGGCAGCAGUGAGGAAUUUUGCGCAAUGGGGGAAACCCUGACGCAGCAACGCCGCGUGAGUGAUGAAGGCUUUCGGGUCGUAAAGCUCUGUCAAGUGGGAAGAACCCGCGCCGUGCAAAUAGUGCGGUGCGUUGACGGUACCACUGAAGGAAGCACCGGCUAACUCCGUG
Molecule: ribosomal RNA, 478 nt
Filed under: uncultured bacterium
Lineage: Bacteria
Description: bacterial SSU rRNA
Rfam family: Bacterial small subunit ribosomal RNA
Source: RNAcentral